This is a long non-coding RNA of Mustela erminea (ermine), 1894 nucleotides long. RefSeq lists it as uncharacterized. The transcript is spliced from 3 exons. The record is from RefSeq and is a predicted model, not a curated record. Lineage: Eukaryota; Metazoa; Chordata; Mammalia; Carnivora; Mustelidae.
GGCCCUUCCACUUGACUGGCCGGCCCCGCGCAGAGCCUGGCGGCUCGGGCCCCACCCACGGCUCAGCGCCCAACCCUAACGGCCCCGCUCCUCUGCGGGCACCGGGCCAUCCCGAGCAGCCCCUCCUGGGAGACCCAGCCUGAGAGCCACCCCUUACAGAAAAGGAAACUGAGGCCCGUGCAGCCGCCUGACGUUGAGGAAACGGGCCGAGAGCUUCCAAGGCCUGGGGCCUCAGGCCAGGACACAGCCCUCUGCACCUCCGUGUCCCCGUCCGUCAGACAUAGGCGAGACCCUGUCCUACCCCCCGUGGUUGCGCCACUCGGGACGAGGGACCCGAGGCCAGAGCACAGGACCUGCCUGCCCAGGUGCCUACGCAGGGCACAGCCCCAGAGAUCCUGGAGGACCAGCGACCGUGCGCCCGGCCCCCAGCACAGACCCAGGACGGAGGGGGUCUGUCAUCGUCCUCGCGGCGGACUUGACUUUGCCGUUCGGGACACCUCACACACGUAACCUCGUCUGAUGACGGUUCCAGCUCCCGAGGGAGACCUGAGUGCCAGGCGUCACCACCCCCCCGCACCAUCCCUCCCAGCAGCCCUGGGAUAACGGCAAGAGAGGGUCGCUCUGACCCAGGUACUCGGCAAAAACGGAAGGCCAGGUGGAGAAGUGCCCAGCCCAAGUUCCCCAUGGCUCGUGGUCCGCUGACACGGCCGAGGGUCACUCAGUCACAUGACCAGUGGGUGAACCCGGAACACCACCCCCCCACCCCACCCCCCGCCGCAGCUGGAUGGGGGGCUGCAGGGCAGGGAGCUCGGGCACGGCCACGCCUCCCAGACCGAGCUCUCCCAUCCAAGAUGCUCUUACGCACUGGUCCCUGGACCCCAGUUCCCCAGAAAAUGAGCUGGAAGACAAAUUUUCGCUGGAAUGUUACUGACUGCUCAGCUCUUAGCUUGCUCCUUCUGACAGGAUUAGCGCCGGGAAGGGAACCCUGGAGAAGACCACGUCUGAGCGCUGAGAUCUCAGACAUCCUGGCCACUGCUACUGAGGGUCCCCCAAAACCAUGACUCUGUCUAGCACACACAGCCUCACGACCGGGCCCCUCCCUGUCACUCUAGCACCUUCCCCAUACACCCUACCCCGGAGCCCAGGCCCCAGCCCCACUCCGCUGACCCCAGGAGGGACAACCGUCCCUGUCCCCUCCCUUGGCCUCAGGUCCCCUCAGGCUGGGCCAGGGGGUCCCUCCACACACUGGGAGCUGGUGCUGAAGGGGAAGAGGACAGGACAGGAUGGACAUCACCCACUCCCCUUUGUCCAUCUGGGGAAACUGAGGCCCAGGGACAGGCACACACCGUCCUGUGUCUCACACCACCCCUAGACCUUGAGUACGGCCAAGGGGUCUGAGACAUACCAUCAAAAGCACAGGGGACUUAGAGGGGCACCAGUGACCCAGGCUUCUGCCUCCCACCUCUGGCACCGUGGGCCCCUCUGCGGCUUCCUUGUGCCGCUGAGGCCUCUCCGAGUCUCACCACACCCCUUGGGCACCCACUUGCACGCACACUCUUGAGGCCUUGGCCCAGGGCAAGGAAAGAAAGAGCAUCGAGAUCAUCAGCCCUAGCCUGGCGCUGGAGCCCUGGUCACCAGGCUGAGACACAGUCACCAAAAGUUGCCAAAGAUGGCCCUGACUUGGAUCACCUGAAGGUUUCAAAGAUUGGGCGUGUUAAAUACCAUGGGGGAAAUACCGAACACUUGUGGUGCGGGUGGCCGGGGUCCAGGUUUUACCAUCUCGGCCACGCAGACUCUCCCACCCCGCCCCAGGCCACCUGCCAGGACUCCCCGGGAUCCACCAGCAUGGCCGGAGCAGCCCAGCCGGAGGCAAUGUCGCCCCCAGGGACCGGGA